CCUACGGGCGGCUGCAGUGGGGAAUAUUGGGCAAUGGGCGCAAGCCUGACCCAGCAACGCCGCGUGAAGGAAGACGGCUUUCGGGUUGUAAACUUCUUUUCUCAGGGACGAAGAAAGUGACGGUACCUGAGGAAUAAGCCACGGAUAACUACGUGCCAGCCGCCGCGGUAAUACGUAGGUGGCAAGCGUUAUCCGGAUUUAUUGGGUGUAAAGGGCGUGUAGGCGGGAGGGCACGUCAGAUGUGAAAACUCAGGGCCCAACCCUGGGCCUGCAUUUGAAACUGUGUUUCUUGAGUGCAGGAGAGGCAAUCGGAAUUCCGUGUGUAGCGGUGAAAUGCGUAGAUAUACGGAGGAACACCAGUGGCGAAGGCGGAUUGCUGGACAGUAACUGACGCUGAGGCGCGAAAGCGUGGGGAGCAAACAGGAUUAGAUACCCGAGUAGUC
Molecule: ribosomal RNA, 443 nt
Filed under: uncultured bacterium
Lineage: Bacteria
Description: partial 16S ribosomal RNA
Rfam family: Bacterial small subunit ribosomal RNA
Source: RNAcentral